UGGGGAAUCUUGCGCAAUGGGCGAAAGCCUGACGCAGCAACGCCGCGUGCGGGAAGAAGGCCUUCGGGUUGUAAACCGCUGUCAGGAGGGACGAAGCCACUCGGGUUAAUAGCCCAGAGGGUGACGGUACCUCCAGAGGAAGGUCCGGCUAACUACGUGCCAGCAGCCGCGGUAAUACGUAGGGACCAAGCGUUGUCCGGAAUUAUUGGGCGUAAAGCGCGUGUAGGCGGCUUGGCAAGUCCGGUGUGAAAUGUCGGGGCUCAACCCCGGAACUGCACUGGAAACUGCCUUGCUAGAGUCCGGAAGAGGAGACUGGAAUUCCUGGUGUAGCGGUGAAAUGCGCAGAUAUCAGGAAGAACACCCGUGGCGAAGGCGGGUCUCUGGGACGGUACUGACGCUGAGACGCGAAAGCGUGGGGAGCGAACA
RNAcentral lists this ribosomal RNA (426 nucleotides) under uncultured Gaiella sp. Its description in RNAcentral is "partial 16S ribosomal RNA". It matches the Rfam family "Bacterial small subunit ribosomal RNA", at positions 355 to 774 of the family's 1533-position model. Lineage: Bacteria; Bacillati; Actinomycetota; Thermoleophilia; Gaiellales; Gaiellaceae. The record is from RNAcentral.